This 285-nucleotide ribosomal RNA is filed under the name Ruminococcus champanellensis 18P13 = JCM 17042. RNAcentral describes it as "partial 16S ribosomal RNA". It matches the Rfam family "Bacterial small subunit ribosomal RNA", at positions 493 to 776 of the family's 1533-position model. Lineage: Bacteria; Bacillati; Bacillota; Clostridia; Eubacteriales; Oscillospiraceae. The record is from RNAcentral.
UCUGGUCCUUUUGUGCCCCGCCGCCGCGGUACUCCGUAGGGAGCGAGCGUUGUCCGGAAUUCCUGGGUGUAACGGGAGCGUAGGCGGGAUCGCAAGUCAGAUGUGAAAACUAUGGGCUUAACCCAUAAACUGCAUUUGAAACUGUGGUUCUUGAGUGAAGUAGAGGUAAGCGGAAUUCCUAGUGUAGCGGUGAAAUGCGUAGAUAUUAGGAGGAACAUCAGUGGCGAAGGCGGCUUACUGGGCUUUAACUGACGCUGAGGCUCGAAAGCGUGGGGAGCAAACAGG